This 73-nucleotide transfer RNA is filed under the name Ictidomys tridecemlineatus (thirteen-lined ground squirrel). RNAcentral's name for it is "Spermophilus tridecemlineatus (thirteen-lined ground squirrel) tRNA". It matches the Rfam family "tRNA". From Rfam's summary of the family: Transfer RNA (tRNA) molecules are approximately 80 nucleotides in length. Their secondary structure includes four short double-helical elements and three loops (D, anti-codon, and T loops). Lineage: Eukaryota; Metazoa; Chordata; Mammalia; Rodentia; Sciuridae. The record is from Rfam by way of RNAcentral.
GGGAUUGUAGCUUAACUGGUAGAGCAUUUGCCUUGUAUGUGUGAGGCACUGGGUUCAAUCCUCAGCAUCACCU